This 71-nucleotide transfer RNA is filed under the name Megophrys shapingensis (Shaping frog). RNAcentral describes it as "Atympanophrys shapingensis (Shaping frog) tRNA-Ser". It matches the Rfam family "tRNA". From Rfam's summary of the family: Transfer RNA (tRNA) molecules are approximately 80 nucleotides in length. RNAcentral also lists the same sequence under 1 other name. The record is from RNAcentral. Lineage: Eukaryota; Metazoa; Chordata; Amphibia; Anura; Megophryidae.
AAGAAAGUGGCAGAUUGGUAAUGCGCCUGGCUUGAAAUCAGGUAAGGGGGGUUCAAUUCCUUCUUUUCUCG